Carassius gibelio (silver crucian carp) is the source of this 822-nucleotide long non-coding RNA. RefSeq lists it as uncharacterized. The record is from RefSeq and is a predicted model, not a curated record. Lineage: Eukaryota; Metazoa; Chordata; Actinopteri; Cypriniformes; Cyprinidae. The transcript is spliced from 4 exons.
UCACUGUAAAAAAAUUCUGUAAAUUUACAGCAUAUUAACAGCGUAAAUAUACAGUACUGAACUGUUUUCUAAAAUUACGGUGUCUUACCGUAAAUGCACACGUGAUCGGUGGGAGAGGGGGAACCAAAGGCUAGCUGAGGCAUGGAGGAGCAUGGUUUCAGUCAAAGUUUUAUGGAUUUCAUCUCAAGUUGAGGCUCAUUUACAGGUAAGCAGAUCAAAGUCUGAAUACAUUUUUAUCUUAAACUGCAGCGUUUUUUAAUGUGGGCACAAUAUUUUAAUUUACCUUUGACAAAUCUUGCCAAGACGGUGAACUAGCAUGUAUGCAAUUUUUAAAAAUUUCUCCUGAAAGUUAAGUGUGUAUGUGUGUGUUUGUGAAGGAUUUGCAUCGUUUUUUUUCUUUCCUGGUGUAAACUCCUGUAAAUGUUAAACUUGUAAAUAGUUAAAUAUAAAAUACUUGCGUUCGCUGAUUAUUUCAUUGGAUAUGAAUUGAACAUAUUGCGCAACGGUAGAAGAUGAGCACGUGAUCGGUGGGGGAGGGGAGCAACGGUUAGCGUCUGAUACCAGAGAAAAGCAUCAUCAGUCUCAGUGAAUAAAACCGAUAUUAUCUCAAAUAUAAUCUCGAUUACAGAUUGCAGAUAACGAGGAUAUGAAGAACAUGAAGAUGGACUGGAUUCGCAUGCAGAUGUUGCAGCAUCUGCAUCUGAGUUUGAGAAGACGCUCAAUCUACCUGCCAAUCCUCAUCUGAUUUUGCUGGUUGCAACAGUGUUUGCUGUGUACUACAUCUUCAACCUGCAGUAUCAAGAGGAGGCUUGUUGCACGUUA